UACGUAGGGUGCAAGCGUUAUCCGGAAUUAUUGGGCGUAAAGAGCUCGUAGGCGGUUUGUCGCGUCUGCUGUGAAAACUGGAGGCUCAACCUCCAGCCUGCAGUGGGUACGGGCAGACUAGAGUGCGGUAGGGGAGAUUGGAACUCCUGGUGUAGCGGUGGAAUGCGCAGAUAUCAGGAGGAACACCGAUGGCGAAGGCAGAUCUCUGGGCCGUAACUGACGCUGAGGAGCGAAAGCAUGGGAAGCGAACAGG
Molecule: ribosomal RNA, 253 nt
Filed under: uncultured bacterium
Lineage: Bacteria
Description: partial 16S ribosomal RNA
Rfam family: Bacterial small subunit ribosomal RNA
Source: RNAcentral